CAAUAGCGUAUAUUUAAGUUGUUGCAGUUAAAAAGCUCGUAGUUGGAUUUCGGUUAAGAGCGACCGGUCCGCCGUUUGGUGUGCACGGGUUGGUUUUAACUUCCUGUAGAGGACGUGCUCUGGGUUUAACGACCUGGACUCGGAGUCUACGUGGUUACUUUGAAAAAAUUAGAGUGUUCAAAGCGGGCUUACGCUUGAAUAUUUCAGCAUGGAAUAACACUAUAGGACUCCUGUCCUAUUUCGUUGGUCUCGGGACGGGAGUAAUGAUUAAGAGGAACAGUUGGGGGCAUUCGUAUUUCAUUGUCAGAGGUGAAAUUCUUGGAUUUAUGAAAGACGAACUUCUGCGAAAGCAUUUGCCAAGGAUGUUUUCAUUAA
This 375-nucleotide ribosomal RNA is filed under the name uncultured eukaryote. RNAcentral's name for it is "partial 18S ribosomal RNA". It matches the Rfam family "Eukaryotic small subunit ribosomal RNA", at positions 592 to 976 of the family's 1831-position model. The record is from RNAcentral.